UCAACUUGAAAGAGUACUUACAGCUCUUCUCCCUUUAUUGGCAGCAAAAGUUGCUCCAACCUUCUUUGUUCUUCCCCCUUUUCCUAGUGGAGCUCUACUAAUCUGUUCAUUUUUACAAUAUCAUGACCAAGUUUCCCAUAAUUUUUGCAUUUGUUAUGAUGUUUUCUUCUUUUGACUCUCAAUGAAGCUGCUGCCUGCUCACUAGCUUCCCUCUUCUUAUUUUUACAAUAUCGUCAUAGUUAACUUCAAGCUUAUUAUCACCACCAUACUCAGUUUUACAGUGCUUAUUGCUUUUUUCAGUAGCUCAAGUUUGUGUUCUGCCUUUGGCGUCAACACCCCCUCAUGCUUUGCAAUGCCUCCUUGUUUCAAAACAAUUCUCUUCAUAAGAAGCCUUCUGAUGAACUCCAUUGAUCUUUAAUGGUGUCGGUAUUUUACAAAAGCAAGUUACCUCUGGAGCUUUAUUCUGAGAGUUUUUGGGAUGCAGCCAUGGCUCAGCUUUGCUUGAGAAGAAGGUCCUUUGGGAAUUUAUUUGCUCAGGCUGCUGCAAUUUGACGAGGGUGUAAGUUGGAGUGGGAAUUGACUUUUGUUGCAAAUGCAAAUUCAUCAUAUCACAACUAUAUAUGUGCACCCAUGGUUACUGUGAUGAAUGCCCAGGCUCAGGUCACUGUGACGAACUUGAAUUUUUUGCCCGUUGCUCAAAUAUUACCGUUGGCAGCUUGCUAUGACUUUGUGAGCUGUAAGCUCACCGUGGUGCUAUUAUACAUGGUUUCUCAUUUUCUCACAGGUGCAUGUCAAACAUUGGAAGAUGAAGAAAUGUAAAAAAGGCCUACGGUUUCUUGGUUUCAUAGUGUUCAAACAAACAUGUGGAAAUUGAAACUUUGUUUUCAAUCCAUUAAUUUCACUGUGAAACAAACAAAAAAGUCAAAUCGGGGAAACCCCACUGAAAUGUCAAGAAAUGGUUUUCAUUCUA
Long non-coding RNA from Asparagus officinalis (garden asparagus), 970 nucleotides. RefSeq lists it as uncharacterized. Lineage: Eukaryota; Viridiplantae; Streptophyta; Magnoliopsida; Asparagales; Asparagaceae. The transcript is spliced from 2 exons. The record is from RefSeq and is a predicted model, not a curated record.